This 72-nucleotide transfer RNA is filed under the name Candidatus Fibrimonadaceae bacterium. RNAcentral describes it as "tRNA-OTHER". It matches the Rfam family "tRNA". From Rfam's summary of the family: Transfer RNA (tRNA) molecules are approximately 80 nucleotides in length. Their secondary structure includes four short double-helical elements and three loops (D, anti-codon, and T loops). Lineage: Bacteria; Pseudomonadati; Fibrobacterota; Fibrobacteria; Candidatus Fibrimonadales; Candidatus Fibrimonadaceae. The record is from RNAcentral.
UGGGGUAUCGCCAAGUGGUAAGGCAGCGGGUAUUGGUAGCGCCAUUCGUUAGUUCGAAUCCAGCUACCCCAA